GGGUCAGUAGGUUGGUCGUGCCACCGGUACGUACUGGUCUCACUGAUUCCUCCUUCCUGAAGAACCGUAAUGCCAUUAAUUUGGUGUUGCGGGGAAACAGGACUGUUACUUUGAAAAAAUUAGAGUGUUUAAAGCAAGCUAACGCCUGAAUACACUAGCAUGGAAUAAUGAAAUAGGACGAUCGAUCCUAUUUUGUUGGUUUCUAGGAUUGACGUA
Molecule: ribosomal RNA, 216 nt
Filed under: Glomeromycotina sp.
Lineage: Eukaryota; Fungi; Glomeromycota
Description: partial small subunit ribosomal RNA
Rfam family: Eukaryotic small subunit ribosomal RNA (bases 44-216)
Source: RNAcentral